GAUGAACGCUAGCGGCAGGCCUAACACAUGCAAGUCGAGGGAGAAGCCCUUUCGGGGGCAGAAACCGGCGCACGGGUGCGUAACGCGUAUGCAACCUACCUUUCACAGGGGGAUAGCCCGAAGAAAUUUGGAUUAAUACCCCAUAAUAUUGUUGGAUGGCAUCAUCUGGCAAUUAAAGCUACGACGGUGGAAGAUGGGCAUGCGUCCUAUUAGCUAGUUGGAGUGGUAACGGCACCCCAAGGCUACGAUAGGUAGGGGUCCUGAGAGGGAGAUCCCCCACACUGGUACUGAGACAGGGACCAGACUCCUACGGGAGGCAGCAGUGAGGAAUAUUGGUCAAUGGUCGGAAGACUGAACCAGCCAUGCCGCGUGCAGGAAGAAUGCCUUAUGGGUUGUAAACUGCUUUUAUAUGGGAAGAAACAAGGCGUAACGUGUACG
RNAcentral lists this ribosomal RNA (438 nucleotides) under Capnocytophaga gingivalis. RNAcentral describes it as "bacterial SSU rRNA". It matches the Rfam family "Bacterial small subunit ribosomal RNA", at positions 28 to 466 of the family's 1533-position model. Lineage: Bacteria; Pseudomonadati; Bacteroidota; Flavobacteriia; Flavobacteriales; Flavobacteriaceae. The record is from RNAcentral.